RNAcentral lists this ribosomal RNA (1448 nucleotides) under uncultured organism. RNAcentral's name for it is "SSU rRNA". It matches the Rfam family "Bacterial small subunit ribosomal RNA". The record is from RNAcentral.
GAACGCUAGCUACAGGCUUAACACAUGCAAGUCGAGGGGCAGCAUGGUCUUAGCUUGCUAAGGCCGAUGGCGACCGGCGCACGGGUGAGUAACACGUAUCCAACCUGCCGUCUACUCUUGGACAGCCUUCUGAAAGGAAGAUUAAUACAAGAUGGCGUCAUGAGUCCGCAUGUUCACAUGAUUAAAGGUAUUCCGGUAGACGAUGGGGAUGCGUUCCAUUAGGUUGUUGGCGGGGUAACGGCCCACCAAGCCUUCGAUGGAUAGGGGUUCUGAGAGGAAGGUCCCCCACAUUGGAACUGAGACACGGUCCAAACUCCUACGGGAGGCAGCAGUGAGGAAUAUUGGUCAAUGGACGAGAGUCUGAACCAGCCAAGUAGCGUGAAGGAUGACUGCCCUAUGGGUUGUAAACUUCUUUUAUACGGGAAUAAAGUGAGGCACGUGUGCCUUUUUGUAUGUACCGUAUGAAUAAGGAUCGGCUAACUCCGUGCCAGCAGCCGCGGUAAUACGGAGGAUCCGAGCGUUAUCCGGAUUUAUUGGGUUUAAAGGGAGCGUAGGCGGACGCUUAAGUCAGUUGUGAAAGUUUGCGGCUCAACCGUAAAAUUGCAGUUGAUACUGGGUGUCUUGAGUACAGUAGAGGCAGGCGGAAUUCGUGGUGUAGCGGUGAAAUGCUUAGAUAUCACGAAGAACUCCGAUUGCGAAGGCAGCUUGCUGGACUGUAACUGACGCUGAUGCUCGAAAGUGUGGGUAUCAAACAGGAUUAGAUACCCUGGUAGUCCACACAGUAAUCGAUGAAUACUCGCUGUUUGCGAUAUACAGUAAGCGGCCAAGCGAAAGCGUUAAGUAUUCCACGUGGGGAGUACGCCGGCAACGGUGAAACUCAAAGGAAUUGACGGGGGCCCGCACAAGCGGAGGAACAUGUGGUUUAAUUCGAUGAUACGCGAGGAACCUUACCCGGGCUUGAAUUGCAAUUGAAUGAUGUGGAGACAUGUCAGCCGCAAGGCAGUUGUGAAGGUGCUGCAUGGUUGUCGUCAGCUCGUGCCGUGAGGUGUCGGCUUAAGUGCCAUAACGAGCGCAACCCUUAUCGAUAGUUACCAUCAGGUUAUGCUGGGGACUCUGUCGAGACUGCCGUCGUAAGAUGUGAGGAAGGUGGGGAUGACGUCAAAUCAGCACGGCCCUUACGUCCGGGGCUACACACGUGUUACAAUGGGGGGUACAGAAGGCAGCUACACGGUGACGUGAUGCUAAUCCCGAAAGCCUCUCUCAGUUCGGAUUGGAGUCUGCAACCCGACUCCAUGAAGCUGGAUUCGCUAGUAAUCGCGCAUCAGCCACGGCGCGGUGAAUACGUUCCCGGGCCUUGUACACACCGCCCGUCAAGCCAUGAAAGCCGGGGGUACCUGAAGUGCGUAACCGCAAGGAGCGCCCUAGGGUAAAACUGGUGAUUGGGGCUA